Long non-coding RNA from Chroicocephalus ridibundus (black-headed gull), 1036 nucleotides. RefSeq lists it as uncharacterized. Lineage: Eukaryota; Metazoa; Chordata; Aves; Charadriiformes; Laridae. The transcript has 5 exons. The record is from RefSeq and is a predicted model, not a curated record.
UGCUGUGCAGCGAUGGGACAAAGCGCCCGUCUUGAGUCUUUAAGCAACCCAGGCUUUGAAUGCGAGACAGUCUGAGGCUACACCUGGUAACAAUUUGCUCUCCACCUCUUUCUCUCUCUCUUUCUUUCUCUGCAGCGUGCCUUUAUGCUUGUUUCACUAUAUAGUGCCACAAGCGGCUUUACGAGCACGGAGCGGGGAAAAUUCAUGUGCGCGGGGCUGGGGAGAGGAGAGGCUGCCUGAGCUGGCGCUGCUGCUGAAAGAAAUGUCUUUGGAACUGGGGCCAAGUCAUCAGGACGUUAAAAACCUGAGGAAAGGCAGUCUCCAAGCCUGGAUGGACGCUUGAAGCCAUUCUGAUGUUUCACUGCUCCUGCACGUGGUGUCUACCUGGAUGUACAAUUCCUUGGAGGCCCUUAACCCAGCUCUGCCAUGUUUGAGCUGGUUUCACUGAUGUCCAUCACUGGAGUGGAUGAAAACACAGACACGACAGAGGGACGACUGAAUGGAGACGGUUGCUCUGAAGGACCUAAUCUGGACACUGCCACCCACCCAGUGCUGCUGAGGAGUCCAGUAGGAGAAGAUUUUCCGUGUUAUCAGUGUUUGUAAGAGAACAAAACCAGAGCGUUACCUAUAAAAGCAGUGAGGAGUGCUGAGAAGAUCUUGGCGCUACUGCUUACGUUUUUGUCCCAGGAAUAAAUUAAUUGGAUUGGAACGAAUGGGAUAUUUAACGGAAGAUUGCACCGUGUAACUUUUGUAGAGCCGUUAAAGUGGUUUGGAUUUAGCGGUACUUACGGCUCCAAAGAUGUUUGGUCGUAUAGGUCCUUGCGUUUGGAAAAUGGUGGGACCUGGAAGGGUGACUUGUACGACUCUCUCCGAGUCAGCGGUGAUCGCAGACUGUAAGGGAACCAACGUAAUUCAAAAGCUUGUGCCAUUUCCAACAGAGAAAAUCGCAAAAUUUGUCACUCAGAAUCAAGAUUAACUGUUAGAUAGACAUCCUAAAAUUAAUAUUAGAUAUUUCAAAAUAAGCCUUUUAAAUAGC